CCUACGGGAGGCAGCAGUGGGGAAUAUUGGGCAAUGGGCGCAAGCCUGACCCAGCAACGCCGCGUGAAGGAAGUAGGCGUUCGGGUUGUAAACUUCUUUUCUCAGGGACGAAGCAAGUGACGGUACCUGAGGAAUAAGGCACGGCUAACUACGUGCCAGCAGCCGCGGUAAGACGUAGGUGGCAAGCGUUAUCCGGAUUUACUGGGUGUAAAGGGCGUGUAGGCGGGAAAGCAAGUCAGAUGUGAAAACCAUGGGCUCAACCUGUGGCCUGCAUUUGAAACUGUUUGUCUUGAGUCCUGGAGAGGCAGACGGAAUGCCUAGUGUAGCGGUGAAAUGCGUAGAUAUUAGGAGGAACACCAGUGGCGAAGGCGGUCUGCUGGACAGCAACUGACGCUGAGGCGCGAAAGCGUGGGGAGCAAACAGGAUUAGAUACCCCUGUAGUC
RNAcentral lists this ribosomal RNA (443 nucleotides) under uncultured bacterium. Its description in RNAcentral is "partial 16S ribosomal RNA". It matches the Rfam family "Bacterial small subunit ribosomal RNA", at positions 338 to 795 of the family's 1533-position model. The record is from RNAcentral.